AAAAAAUUGAUAUUAAAACACAAAAAAAAAGGUUGAGAAGACAUGGGUAAAGAGGCUAUAAUAACCGACUUUACUGUCAGAUGACUCGGACAUUGAAAUGACUGACGUACACAGGAUGAUAAUUUUAUAAAUACCAAAUAUAUAAUAAUCAAUUUAAUUAUUUUUAUAAAUCGUUAGGACAAGUAAGUUGCAUAUUUAGGUUACAAUGUCGAUUUUGAUAUCACAAUCAAAUAGAACGACGCCAGUUUAAUAACACGUUAUAUAAUGUAUUUAUAAUUGUCGAAAAUAUAUUUUUAUUUUUGUCAAGUUUUUAGUACUUGUAUAAAAGUUCAUAAAAUCUCAACAAAUCAAUCUUGCAAGAAAAACGAGUGUGCUUUUGACCACACGACCGAAGUAAAAUUUCUUUAGUUCCUACAGUAAUAUACGAAACAUAACUCUCUCACUUUCUAUAUACACUAACUUAUAUCUCCUUCAACAUCCGUUCACCUCGCUCGAUCACACUUUUCCUAACGUUAUCGUCACACAUUCACCAGAUUACUCCCCAAGUCAAGCGUUCGUAAAGAAGUUUUACUUCAACAAAGUUUUUUAGUUACAAUUAAACUCUACAUAAAUCAAACUAUAUUUUUUGCAUUAUUUUUCUAUAACAUUUAUGUUCUAAAAUGAAAUUAUGUAGUUUAAAAUACGAAAUUCUUAGGAAUGCUACUACAAAGUCACGUAAAACUUAUCACAAUGUAAAAAAAGGUUUAUUUUAAGUACAUUCAAAGAUACUGAGUUUUGGUACAGAUACAAAUAAUAAUAAAAUAACUCACGUAUGGGGGAAUUGUAGAAAACUCUUGCUAUCAUAGUAAAGGUAUGUUUUCUUCUGUUGUUACAUAAUAAGAAAAAAAAAUUGUAACUGUCGCUCAACUAAAUUUUAUUUUUCAAAAAGUUU
RNAcentral lists this unclassified non-coding RNA (931 nucleotides) under Melitaea cinxia (Glanville fritillary). Its description in RNAcentral is "misc RNA ENSMCXG00005006330.1". The record is from RNAcentral. Lineage: Eukaryota; Metazoa; Arthropoda; Insecta; Lepidoptera; Nymphalidae.